This 2879-nucleotide long non-coding RNA is filed under the name Fukomys damarensis (Damara mole-rat). RNAcentral describes it as "lncRNA (ENSFDAG00000032605.1)". The record is from RNAcentral. Lineage: Eukaryota; Metazoa; Chordata; Mammalia; Rodentia; Bathyergidae.
CCUCACCUGACUGUCCUGGAGGUAACUCCAACAGCCUCGCUCCCCGGGCCUGUUCCCCACGGGGCCUUCACUUCCCUCCUGCCACACCAGGCUCCCGGGGCAGAGCGGGGGCAGAACAGAGCCCCAAAGUCUCAAGGCAAUUGUGAGGCUGAGGACUGAGCUGGGCCAGGCUCGGACCUCCCAGCUGUGCAAACCUGAGCGUGCCUUGGCCCCCAGAACCCUGCAGGGCUGUCUGUAAACUGGGGACGUGCCUGUCCACAGGGUCACUGAUUCAAGGGGCCCCCUCUGCCCAGAGCUGCUCUUGUCCUUGUCUCCCCCUCCUCCCCGCAUCCUCAGCCCCAUGCCCUGUGUCUCCGUGGGGACCCUGGGGAUCCGACUCUUGUCCUGCACAUCUUUUUUCGGGGGGGACCGGGGAUCGAACUCGGGUCCUUGAGCUUUCGAGGCAGGCAGUGGAACCACUGAGCUAAGUCCCCAGCCCCUGUCCUGCGUGUCUUUAGGGCCUGUCCAUCUCUGAGCUCUCGAGGCAGCCGUCCUCCUGGGGCUCCUGCCAACGCCUGGCCCCUGCAGCCCAGCACAGCCUCUUCCGAAGCAACCUCCUGCCAAGCCCAGACUGCCUGCCGCCGCCCUCAGGAUGAAUAUGCAUGUAUGGAAAUCAGCGAAGCCCAGAUCUGCUCGGCAGUCAGAGGGGUGACCCCUCUCCUGAAGGUUCCAAAGGCAGCUCCCACCCCACGCGCUGGCCAGGAGCCCAGCCCUCCCCUCGAGUUUUCUACCUAGAGAGACUCCCCGGGCACCUUGGGUAGGGGCGAGAGACGCCCACCCACCUUCACUACUAGCCUCUGAAUGCCUGGUAGGGGAAGUAGGAGACAGACAAGGGUGCUCCCCCCCCGCUGCUAAGCCGACAGGGGUGGUAAGGGCGGAAAGGAGCUUCCCGAUCCUCGGGCGGAGGGGCAGAAAGCAGCAACACCCUCUCUGAGCCUCUUCUUGGGGCCUGGUGCCGUCUUCUGUGGCGGUCUCGUGGCCACGCCCCAUCCUCAGCCCGGUUCCUACUCAGCCCUUCCCCCACCAGAGCCCCUUCCUCGGGGGCAGGAGACACUCAGGCGAUUUCCUCUGCACAGACCCCCAGUGACAACGACAGCAUCGGCGAUAGUGACCUCCCCCCAGUGCCCAGAGCCUGGUGGUCCAGAGCGCUGCCCGUCCACACAGCUGAUGUGGGAAGUGAGGACACCACACCCUGGACUUUAACCAUGACGACCCCAGACUCGGGUGCUGCAGGCCUGGCCCCAGCCCCUCGUAUGGCUCCACGCUACCCUAGGACCUGGGACCAGGACGGAAGCCCCAGAGCUACUGACCUUCGUGCCGGCGAUUCCUGGUCACAGCUUACGCGCCCUUCCCAGCUGCGGCCACCCGAACACCACCAGCCCCUGCCGGUGUCUCCGGGAGCCAAAAUCACCCAGUUGAGGACCGCUGCUUACUGCAAAGCUGGCGCUCUGCCGGGAAAGUUAAUGCCAAAGAGGAAUAAUAAUUAAAGCAAUGAUAAUAAAUGCAACAAUAACAGGGAUUGUAGAAACAACAAUAAUUUUGAUAAUCACAGCCAUGACAAAAGUAAUCGCAGCAGCAAUGAUAAUAGCGCUCACGAUCGUACAAGGCAGCAGGGGCGACAGUAAACAGUGUGAUGUGCUAAUCAUCGUCGGACGCAGCUCUGGGACUUUGGCAGGAGGAGGGCUCCUGUGUCCCGCUGCCAAGACCCGUCCACCCUGCGUCUCCAGCCCUGGGUCCCCAGCGAGGUGACCAGAGAGGCCACCUGAGGCCGCCGAGGAUGGCGCUCGGCCCAGGGGCAGGUGAGUGGUGGCUGAGACCUCGUGGCUGCCCCUCCCGUCUCCCCGGGGUCUGUGCAGAGGGAACUGAGGCCUCUCUGUCCAACUUCAGGGGGAGGUUUGACCGUCACCGGCAAGAAGGGUCACAGAUUCCUGUGACUGUGCCCCUGCCUGCCCACAGGGCUCCCCGGCCCUGCCACCUCUGGGCCCGAGAGCGAGAGGAGAGCACUUUCCUCGUCGGGUGCCCUCCGUGCGUCCCAGGGAGAGUCCUCGUGCUCUGCAGGGGUGUGGAGUGACUGGGCCUGCAGCCUGGGCACCCUCGGGGUCUCUCCUGAGACUCCAGCCAGCUUCGGGGACUCUGGUCCUCCCACUCCACACAGACACGCACGCCCACCACACACGCAUGUCACAGAGACACACACAGUGGCCACGCACACUGCCUACCCACACACACCACACUCACGUACACACGGUCACAAGACAGCACAGCCCGCUCUCGGAGAGGGAACUCCGAUCUGGGACAACCAGGCCAGCCACACCCAGCCUACCCCAGGCGACCCAACCUCUUCUUCCUCUCUUGCACCCAGGAGGUCAGCAGAGUCCCUGGGUCCCCAUCCUCAACCUUAGCCGGGCCCUGGCCUAGGAGCCCCCUUGCCUCUGGGUGUCCUCUGGGGGACCUGGGGUGGCAGAGGCCCGGGGUCCUGGCUGGAGCGCCAGGCUGUGCUGUGUAUUGUCCCUCAUAGCGAGGUGCACUGAGGGGUAGACAAGGCUGGUUCCGGCCAGCCCCAGGGUGACCUCCGUGCCCCAGGGAGAUGUCACUGCCCAGCUGUGUGGAGCAGGCUGCACAGGGCCUGUCUGUGUGGUUGCUAGGAGGUUUCCAUGACAACGGAUGGGGCCAGGGAAGCCUGACAGCUGCAUGCACCCCCAUCAGCCACAUCCAGGCCCCUCUGGCAGCACCCCAGGACUGGGGCCACCCACCCAGGACCCCAAAGACCCCUCUAGUGACCCAGCCACCUGGGGACACAGAAGGCUGAGGUGAGCAGGCGGAAGAGGCACUGGGGCCGC